This 261-nucleotide long non-coding RNA is filed under the name Marmota monax (woodchuck). The record is from RNAcentral. Lineage: Eukaryota; Metazoa; Chordata; Mammalia; Rodentia; Sciuridae.
GCUCCUCUGACCUUUAGGGUCUGCAGGAAGAGAGAGAGCGAGAGCACGCGCUGACCCCUUUUAUUGAGGAGAAGCUAUUCAAAUGAGGCAAGGGGUCAGGUUUCAGGGGGCUGAGUCUAUCUUCAUGAUGUCCACUGUCAGCAGGUUGACAGACACCUGGGUAGGCCACACCCAAGGCACAGUAAGAGAAGGGGACACUCACAAGGCACUUCCAUGGAAGAUUCUAUCUAAACAGGGCAAGGGGUUAUAUUACAAAGGAAC